AUACGUAGGUGGCGAGCGUUGUCCGGAAUUACUGGGCGUAAAGCGCGCGUAGACGGCUUAGUAAGUCAGAUGUGAAAGACCCGGGCUCAACCUGGGGGCGGCAUCUGAGACUGCGUAGCUUGAGUGCAGGAGAGGCAAGUGGAAUUCCCAGUGUAGCAGUGAAAUGCGUAGAGAUUGGGAGGAACACCAGUGGCGAAGGCGACUUGCUGGACUGUAACUGACGUUGAGGCGCGAAAGCUAGGGGAGCAAACGGGAUUAGAUACCCCGGUAGUCCUAGCCGUAAACGAUGGGUACUAGGUGUGGGAGGUAUCGACCCCUUCCGUGCCGCAGUGAACGCAAUAAGUACCCCGCCUGGGGAGUACGGCCGCAAGGUUGAA
RNAcentral lists this ribosomal RNA (377 nucleotides) under uncultured bacterium. RNAcentral describes it as "bacterial SSU rRNA". It matches the Rfam family "Bacterial small subunit ribosomal RNA", at positions 523 to 898 of the family's 1533-position model. The record is from RNAcentral.